AUAUCAAUAAGCGGAGGAAAAGAAACCAACAGGGAUUGCCUUAGUAACGGCGAGUGAAGCGGCAACAGCUCAAAUUUGAAAUCUGCCUCUAGGCCGAGUUGUAAUUUGUAGAAGAUGCUUCGGGUGUGGCACCGGUCUAAGUUCCUUGGAACAGGAUGUCAUAGAGGGUGAGAACCCCGUAUCCGGGCGGAUGCUCGCGCCAUGUGAAGCUCCUUCGACGAGUCGAGUUGUUUGGGAAUGCAGCUCAAAAUGGGAGGUAAAUUUCUUCCAAAGCUAAAUACCG
RNAcentral lists this ribosomal RNA (283 nucleotides) under uncultured Helotiales. RNAcentral's name for it is "partial large subunit ribosomal RNA". It matches the Rfam family "Eukaryotic large subunit ribosomal RNA", at positions 40 to 325 of the family's 3401-position model. The record is from RNAcentral. Lineage: Eukaryota; Fungi; Ascomycota; Leotiomycetes; Helotiales.